This 515-nucleotide ribosomal RNA is filed under the name uncultured bacterium. Its description in RNAcentral is "partial 16S ribosomal RNA". It matches the Rfam family "Bacterial small subunit ribosomal RNA", at positions 28 to 523 of the family's 1533-position model. The record is from RNAcentral.
GACGAACGCUGGCGGCGUGCCUAAUACAUGCAAGUCGAGCGGACUUUCAAGAAGCUUGCUUUUUGAAAGUUAGCGGCGGACGGGUGAGUAACACGUGGGCAACCUGCCUGUAAGACGGGGAUAACUCCGGGAAACCGGGGCUAAUACCGGAUAAUAUCUUUCUUCGCAUGAAGGAAGGUUGAAAGGCGGCGCAAGCUGCCGCUUGCAGAUGGGCCCGCGGCGCAUUAGCUAGUUGGUGAGGUAGCGGCUCACCAAGGCGACGAUGCGUAGCCGACCUGAGAGGGUGAUCGGCAACACUGGGACUGAGACACGGCCCAGACUCCUACGGGAGGCAGCAGUAGGGAAUCCUCCGCAAUGGACGAAAGUCUGACGGAGCAACGCCGCGUGAGCGAAGAAGGUCUUCGGAUCGUAAAGCUCUGUUGUCAGGGAAGAACAAGUACCGUUCGAAUAGGGCGGUACCUUGACGGUACCUGACCAGAAAGCCACGGCUAACUACGUGCCAGCCGCCGCAGUAA